This 253-nucleotide ribosomal RNA is filed under the name uncultured bacterium. Its description in RNAcentral is "partial 16S ribosomal RNA". It matches the Rfam family "Bacterial small subunit ribosomal RNA", at positions 524 to 776 of the family's 1533-position model. The record is from RNAcentral.
UACGGAGGGGGCUAGCGUUAUUCGGAAUUACUGGGCGUAAAGCGUUCGUAGGCGGCUUUGUAAGUCAGAGGUGAAAGCCCACGACUCAAUCGUGGAACUGCCUUUGAGACUGCUUCGCUUGAAGAUGGGAGAGGUUAGUGGAAUUCCGAGUGUAGAGGUGAAAUUCGUAGAUAUUCGGAAGAACACCAGUGGCGAAGGCGACUGACUGGACAUGUAUUGACGCUGAGGUGCGAAAGCGUGGGGAGCAAACAGG